This 254-nucleotide ribosomal RNA is filed under the name uncultured bacterium. RNAcentral's name for it is "partial 16S ribosomal RNA". It matches the Rfam family "Bacterial small subunit ribosomal RNA", at positions 524 to 776 of the family's 1533-position model. The record is from RNAcentral.
UACGUAGGGACCAAGCGUUGUUCGGAUUUACUGGGCGUAAAGGGCGCGUAGGCGGCGCGGUAAGUCGGGUGUGAAACCUCCAGGCUCAACCUGGAGACGCCACCCGAUACUGCCAUGGCUAGAGUCCGGUAGGGGACCACGGAAUUCCUGGUGUAGCGGUGAAAUGCGCAGAUAUCAGGAGGAACACCGGUGGCGAAGGCGGUGGUCUGGGCCGGCACUGACGCUGAGGAGCGAAAGCGUGGGGAGCGAACAGG